This 106-nucleotide unclassified non-coding RNA is filed under the name uncultured fungus. RNAcentral describes it as "sequence contains ITS1". The stretch from base 1 to 92 matches the Rfam family "5.8S ribosomal RNA", at positions 50 to 139 of the family's 154-position model. From Rfam's summary of the family: 5.8S ribosomal RNA (5.8S rRNA) is a component of the large subunit of the eukaryotic ribosome. It is transcribed by RNA polymerase I as part of the 45S precursor that also contains 18S and 28S rRNA. The record is from RNAcentral. Lineage: Eukaryota; Fungi.
GAAAUGCGAUACUUGGUGUGAAUUGCAGAAUCCCGUGAACCAUCGAGUCUUUGAACGCAAGUUGCGCCCGAAGCCAUUAGGCCGAGGGCACGAGGCGUGCCCUCGG